UAUCUAUUAAUUUUUAAAUUUGAAACUUAGAAGACUUACAUAACCAAUAUCUCUAAACUCCGAAGAUAAUCCCAAAAAACAGCCCCAGACCCCUCUAAGCCUCACGAACCAUUAUUAAGCUACUCCAUAGACACAUUUUCUCAAACUCUCCAUCUACCGAUUAUCAAGAUCAUGACCCGUUGCGACAACGUUCUAGAGACUGUCGACGAAUGUUGAUGAAAGGCAGCAAGACCACAGUGACUAGUUGCAACAAGUGACGCUAAUCGAUGAAACCUAUAAGGUUGAGUGAGAGAGAUGGCACGAGACUUUCACUCAAUUGUUGGCAGUCGUCGACGUGCAGUGGUUGACGGCAAGCAACGACCAUCGAGGGGUAGUAACUGACGGCGACUAAUCGCAUAGGUUGGAGCUGAUGAAGGAAAAGAUGGGGUCUGCGUUGCUGAGUGGUCUGCACGAAGGAGAAGAUGGGGAAGGGGGAACUCAGGUUUGAAACCAGACAUUAUUGCCCUCUGAUCUCCGCUGACUCUAAUCCUAGGCUGUCUCACUCCGUCGCUCGUCCGCGCUUUAGCUCAGUCGUCCAAUGAGCCGAGUCCGCCGCUGCCAGAUCUAAAGUCACGCUAUCUCUUUCUCUCAGUCGUUUCCUUCUUAGCCGAGUGCGACUCUGACCAGAAACCGCUGUUUGCACUCCACCGUCGCUCGCCGUCUUCGUUCCAACGUCAUCGCCGCUGCCACUGCCUUGGUUCUCAUUGGAAUUUUGAGAUUUGGGUAAGAUUGGGUUUCUUUAGGUUAAAUUGAUGUUUUGGGAGGUCUUAGGCUAUUGUCUAGCGGGCCAGAAACGAUUCCGAUUUGAACGAAGUUUUGAAGCCGGGUACGUGUUGCCCAACAUUACAAGGAUCGAUUUUCGGAGGAUUUUGGUUGGGCUACUUAAUUGAGUAUUGGAAGUGAUUUUGGGUCAAGCCACAGUUUCGGUAUUGAAUUAAGGUUGGGUUUGGGAAAGAGAAGAUAAGCGCACUUGAGUAUACUUUGGGCCUAAAUUCCAAGGUAAGUAAUCUUACUAUUGGAACUGCCUUCGAUUUAAUUAGGAUAAUUUUGAUGGUCCUAAGACUCUAAAUCGUGAUGCCUAAUUAGAGAGGAUAUAUGACCAUAUGAUAGAUAUGUUUGAAGUAGGACAUGUAUAUGAGCAUGAUCUAGAAUUCUAUUAGAUAAUAUAAGAGGAUGAAUGAUCAUGAACCAUAUUUUAUAUGACAAGGUAUAAGGAUGUAUGUGCUUAAUGUUAUGUUUUAUAUUGUGGGACUCUAUUUUAUAUUACAUGAUAUUUAUGUUAGUGAUAAUUGCCUCCUACCCGUAGUCAUGAUAUUUAUGUUAGUGAUAAUUGCCUCUUACCCGUAGUCAUGUAUCCUCUUAAAGUUAGUGCUGCCUUUGGGAUUCACUAGAGGUUUGUGUCUCCUUGGGGAUUCACCGAAGGUUAGUGUCUCCUUUGGGAUUCACCAGAGGUUAGUGUCUCCUUUGGGAUUCACCAGAGGUUAGUGUCUCCUUCGGGAUUCACCAGAGGCUAGUGUCUCCUUCGGGAUUCACCAGAGGCUAGUGUCUCCUUCGGGAUUCACCAGAGGCUAGUGUCUCGAUUCACUAAAGGUUUGUGUCUCCUUCAAAAUUCACUAAAGGUUUGUGACCUCUUUGGGAUUUACUAGAGGUUGUGAUUGCUUUCGAGACUUCACCAGAGGUUGUGAUUGCUUUCGAGACUUCAUCAGAGGUUGUGAUUUCCUUCGGGACUUCAUCAGAGGUUAGUGAUCUCCUUCGGAAUUUCACCAAAGGUUUGUGGGUACAUCUUACCUAUGGUAAGGUGGGUUUAAUUAUUCACUAAAUAAUCAUCCAUGAUAAGUAGAGGUUUUGCAUGUCCCUCUAGAAUGUAGCAUUUAUUAGACAUAAAUACUUAGCCUAACCCUUGUAGUGAGGUUACUUACUGGGUAUUUUAUACUCACUCUUUAUUAUGUUAUAUCUUACAGGUAGAAAGAACACACUGGUAAAUGAUAGUCGGAAUUCGUGAUCGUGCUAACGGGAUUAUUCUGAUGCUUUCACCCAUGUCUUUUCUAUGUUUUCAUGUUUUAAAACUUAAUCUAUUGUUGAAUUUAGAAACUUCCAAUUUUUGCAUGGUUGGUUAUUUUAGAUGAGAUUUUCUAGUGAUGUUUUACUUUUUUUUUUUUAAAAAAAAAAAAAAAUUAAGGGUAACUUGAUCAACAAUUUUCAAGUAUUUGAUUUCAAUUUUAUGUCCUUUAUUCGAUUUUAGCCAAUUAAUGAAAAGUGUCGUUUUGAGAUUUAUGCAUACAUGUAGUAACGACCUGGUAUAAGUCCUAGUGAGCUGGGUUGUUACAGUUGGUAUCAGAGUCCAUUUUGGGUACUGUAGAUUAACUUACUAUGUAAGUCCAGAUUGUCCUUAUGGCCCAUGUAUGGAUUCCUCGUCAUCGCAAGGACUAUCAUGCAAUGGAGAAGUCUGCAUGAGAUGCACCUCAUGCUUGGAGAAUUGAAGCAAAAUUUUAGUGGGUUUAGUGUGAGCAACUUCAUGAAGAGACUAAACGAUCAAGCGUCGAGUUACUAUACGAUAGAACUUGUUAGUACACAAUCGAGUAUCGAGCCUAUAUGAUAGGCUUCUUCUUCUAUACGAUUGUUUGAUCGCAUAUUCGAUCGUCUACUCGAUCGUUUACUUCCUCCAUUCCUUUAUCAAAAAACAUACAGAGCCCACAACUCCUGAAUUAUCACACCGAGAAUACCAAAGUAAUCUUGUGGUGGUGUCUUGUUCUGUUCGAGGAUCGAGGAUUGAGUUUCACUCGCUGGUGAUCGAGGAUCUUCCAGUUGAUCAUUGCGUUCGUGCUGUUUGGAUGCGUUCGAGUUUGAUCGAGCGAAAUACAUGAAGAAAGAGUUCUUCAAAGGUAGUGGUCACUCCCCAAAAGACGCUUCUGCUGUUGCUCUGCCACUCAAGACCAAGAUGUUAGAAAGUCUAAGUGUGGGAUUGUAUAAAAUAGUACGCAUGUAUUAUGUCAUGUGUAUAAGUUGUAUUACUGAAGAGUAAUGUAGAACUCUGUUAAUGAUUGUUAUUGUCUUAAGUUGAUGGUUGAGUA
This is a non-coding RNA of Benincasa hispida (wax gourd), 3110 nucleotides long. The record is from RefSeq and is a predicted model, not a curated record. Lineage: Eukaryota; Viridiplantae; Streptophyta; Magnoliopsida; Cucurbitales; Cucurbitaceae.